Molecule: ribosomal RNA, 410 nt
Filed under: uncultured bacterium
Lineage: Bacteria
Description: bacterial SSU rRNA
Rfam family: Bacterial small subunit ribosomal RNA
Source: RNAcentral
UUGAUCCUGGCUCAGAACGAACGCUGGCGGCGUGCCUAACACAUGCAAGUCGAACGAGAAUGCAGGCUUCGGUCUGCUAGUAAAGUGGCGCACGGGUGAGUAACACGUGGAUAACGUACAUUGUAGUGGGGGAUAACCAGGUGAAAGCUUGGCUAAUACCGCAUGAGUCUGUCGGGACGCAGGUCUUGACAGGGAAAGUGAGCAAUCACGCUACGAGAUCGGUCCGCGGCCCAUUAGCUAGUUGGCGGGGUAAUGGCCCACCAAGGCGACGAUGGGUAGCUGGUCUGAGAGGAUGAUCAGCCACACUGGAACUGAGACACGGUCCAGACUCCUACGGAGGCAGCAGUGGGGAAUUUUGCGCAAUGGCGAAAGCCUGACGCAGCAACGCCGCGUGUGUGACGAAGGCCCUA